GAUGAACGCUAGCUACAGGCUUAACACAUGCAAGUCGAGGGACCGGCGCACGGGUGAGUAACACGUAUCCAACCUGCCCUUUACUCGGGGAUAGCCUUUCGAAAGAAAAAUUAAUACCCGAUAUAAAGACUGGGGAUGCGUUCCAUUGGGUUGUGGGUGAGUUACCUGCUCACCAAGCCUUCGAUGGAUAGGGGUUCGGAUAGGAAGGUACACCUCAUGUGAACGUAGACACGGACCAAACUCCUACGGGAGGCAGCAGUGAGGAAUAUGUGUCAAUGGGAGGUAGCCUGAGCCAGCCAAGUAGCGUGAAGGAUGAAGGCUUAUGGGUCGUAAACUUCUUGUAUAUAAGAAUAUGUAUUAUAUGAAUAAGGAUCGGCUAACUCCGUGCCAGCCGCCGCGGUAAUAC
RNAcentral lists this ribosomal RNA (406 nucleotides) under uncultured bacterium. Its description in RNAcentral is "partial 16S ribosomal RNA". It matches the Rfam family "Bacterial small subunit ribosomal RNA", at positions 28 to 526 of the family's 1533-position model. The record is from RNAcentral.